AAUCCGUGAUGUGGGCACUACAUAAGAAGGUCCUUGAAUCAUUCAUAUGCCUCAAACAGUGUUUCAAACUCUCCUUGCUUAAACACUGAGAUCUCCUGUCUGAUCUU
Dioscorea cayenensis subsp. rotundata (Guinea yam) is the source of this 107-nucleotide small nucleolar RNA. The record is from RefSeq and is a predicted model, not a curated record. NCBI's taxonomy places the organism in Eukaryota, Viridiplantae, Streptophyta, Magnoliopsida, Dioscoreales, Dioscoreaceae.